GCAGUAGCCACGGUAAUACGAGGGGUGCAAGCGUUAUUCGGAUUGAUUGGGUGUAAAGGGUGUGCAGACGGCUUAUUAAGUCACUUGUUAAAUUCUUCGGCCUAACUGAAGGUCUGCAAGUGAUACUGAUGAGCUAGAGGGUGGAAGAGAGAAGUGGAAUUCUCGGAGUAGCGGUAAAAUGCGUAGAUCUCGAGAGGAACACCAAUGGCGAAGGCAGCUUCUUGGUCCAUUCCUGACGUUCAUACACGAAAGCGUGGGGAGCAAACAGGAUUAGAUACCCGCGUAGUCCCUGUCUCUUAUAC
RNAcentral lists this ribosomal RNA (302 nucleotides) under uncultured bacterium. RNAcentral's name for it is "partial 16S ribosomal RNA". It matches the Rfam family "Bacterial small subunit ribosomal RNA", at positions 508 to 807 of the family's 1533-position model. The record is from RNAcentral.